UACGUAGGUGGCAAGCGUUAUCCGGAUUUAUUGGGCGUAAAGGGAACGCAGGCGGUCUUUUAAGUCUGAUGUGAAAGCCUUCGGCUUAACCGGAGUAGUGCAUUGGAAACUGGGAGACCUGAGUGCAGAAGAGGAGAGUGGAACUCCAUGUGUAGCGGUGAAAUGCGUAGAUAUAUGGAAGAACACCAGUGGCGAAAGCGGCUCUCUGGUCUGUAACUGACGCUGAGGGUCGAAAGCGUGGGUAGCAAACAGG
Molecule: ribosomal RNA, 253 nt
Filed under: uncultured bacterium
Lineage: Bacteria
Description: partial 16S ribosomal RNA
Rfam family: Bacterial small subunit ribosomal RNA
Source: RNAcentral